This 289-nucleotide long non-coding RNA is filed under the name Elaeis guineensis (African oil palm). RNAcentral's name for it is "long non-coding RNA (EGUI_LNC076048)". Lineage: Eukaryota; Viridiplantae; Streptophyta; Magnoliopsida; Arecales; Arecaceae. The record is from RNAcentral.
GACUCCUACCGGACUUCGCCAGCAGAAAGUCUUCAUCCGAGUCUCUACAGCAGAUGGUUCUCACCUAUAGACUCAGCGCCCAAGGUCUCCGACAAUAGUAGACUCGUCAACAACCUCAGAAAUAUCCGAACUUCUCCUAGAUCGACGAGACAGAGAGCCAUUCCGCUCCAUCAGACAUCCCAGUCGAGCUUCAGCUGACAGAUCCGAACUCUCUGGCAAGUCACGACAAGGGCCACUACCUUACUCCACUCUCUGCAACAGAUUCCACGCGGCUCCACCACUCUCUGGC